GGAGGCUUCCCCGCCUCCCUCACCGGGUCUCACCACAUAAAUAGAGGGCUGGGUGCUGCUGGCCAGCACUGAGGCUGCUGCUCAGGGUCUGCAACACCUCGCGCCCCAGCACCCAUCCCGUCUGUGCUGCAGCAUGACUCCUGCCAGUGCACUCUGCCUGUGGCUCGGCUGCCUCCUGCUUUGUGUCGCUGCCCCAACACCCAUCUGUGACACCAGCACCUGCUCCUCCUGCUCCGAGCCCACCCCUGGGGGCUGCUGCCCACCCUGUGCCCCUGCCUGUGCCUGCCCCCCCUACCUGCAGGAUGACUGCGAGAUGCAAGGCUUCACUGAUGGCCACGUUCCUGCCGGCCGCUCCUUCUACAUCGACUUUGCCCGCAAGCUGUGCACCUGCCAGCCUGGCGGGGACAUCACCUGCACCCCACACUGCACCCCUGUGCCCCCCACCUGCCAGGCCGUGGGCAGCCCGGUGGCUGACGGCUGUCCCCGCUGCGUCUGCUACGACAAGGAGGAGGUGGCAGUGCCCGCUGGCACCGUGGUCCCCCGGGGUGCCCGGCUCUGCACCUGCCCUCCUGAGGGGGGCCGGCUGCAGUGCGGCGAUGGGGGCGAGGAGUGAGAUGCCUGCUCUCCGCCAGCCAAGGGCAGGGGGAUGGGGAAGCCUCCCGGGGAGUGGGAGGCUUUCUGCUCCUUGGGGCAUCCCUGCUGGAAGGCGUUCAAUGCAUCAAACUGCCCUGGAGGGCCUGGCAGCCAGCAUGUCCCUGCCACUGGCUGCAGGGAGAUGCUGCCCUGUGCACCCUAUAUAAACCAGGGCGCAGUGCCUCUACCCGGGUGAUGUUUCCUUGUGGCUUGGUCUGCUCCACAUGGCUGGCAGAGUGGUUGGGGUGACUGCAGCCAGGACGCAACUGAAACAAAUUGCAGUUAUUUAUUUAUUUGUGAGAUGAUUGUGCUUUUUGUGUGUUCUUGUGCAUUUUUGUUUAUAUAGGGUCUUGAGUCAAUGUGCUGGAUAAACUUCCUUCCAGGAUCCGGCCUUUCCCUUUCUGUAACUCCAUCAAAGUGGUGGGACCACAAUCAUACGAUUUUUGAACUUCCCCUCACCCAGGCGUUCCUCCUCUUCCUCACACCAGAGUGAGGUUGUGGGCAAUAGGAAGGUUAGUGCGUGGCACUGUGCUUAGGAGGUGGCAAACCUCCGUCCUCCAGAGCAAAGACAUGAAAAGUCACCCUGAGGACGUCAGCAGCCAUUGAGCAAUCCUUUGCGGCCACCUCUGUGAAGCAGCUCCCUGGCUCUGAGCCCAUCACCAGUCUUGUCUCUGUCCUUGUUCAGAACAAAUACCCCAAACUGCAUCCUCCUCACUGGCGCUGUCUCCUUCCCAAUGCUGGAAACAGCAGAAAAGUGUUCUCUGAAUGCUUCGGAGUGUCUGCUUCGAUAUGUUUAUGUACAUACAUAUAUAUAUAUAUGCAGGAAAACUGUAAUCAAACGCAGCUUCAUCAGGCUGAGCCAUUAACAAAUGUCAGUUGUGUUUCUUCGAGGGUUGAAUAAAAACUAUUUCACCAACAAACUUGUGAAAGCUUUGUUGAUAAACACACGUAUACCGGCCUUAAGCAUUAGCUGAU
Oxyura jamaicensis (ruddy duck) is the source of this 1608-nucleotide RNA transcript. It is a transcript of the gene named fibulin-2-like, with no coding region annotated. The transcript has 2 exons. The record is from RefSeq and is a predicted model, not a curated record. NCBI's taxonomy places the organism in Eukaryota, Metazoa, Chordata, Aves, Anseriformes, Anatidae.